CACGUGGGCAACCUGCCCUAGGGAGCGGGACAACCCGAGGAAACUCGGGCUAAUACCGCAUAAUUCGCAGUGCCUUAAGGCUCUGCGGGAAAUGGUAGCUUCGGCCUCCGCCCUAGGAUGGGCCCGCGGCGCAUUAGCUAGUUGGUGUGGGUAACGGCCCACCAAGGCGACGAUGCGUAGCUGGUCUGAGAGGACGAUCAGCCACACUGGGACUGAGACACGGCCCAGACUCCUACGGGAGGCAGCAGUGGGGAAUCUUGCGCAAUGGGCGGAAGCCUGACGCAGCAACGCCGCGUGUGG
This 300-nucleotide ribosomal RNA is filed under the name uncultured Gaiellales bacterium. RNAcentral describes it as "bacterial SSU rRNA". It matches the Rfam family "Bacterial small subunit ribosomal RNA", at positions 114 to 406 of the family's 1533-position model. Lineage: Bacteria; Bacillati; Actinomycetota; Thermoleophilia; Gaiellales. The record is from RNAcentral.